Molecule: unclassified non-coding RNA, 404 nt
Filed under: uncultured Cortinarius
Lineage: Eukaryota; Fungi; Basidiomycota; Agaricomycetes; Agaricales; Cortinariaceae
Description: sequence contains ITS2
Rfam family: 5.8S ribosomal RNA (bases 1-154)
Source: RNAcentral
AACUUUUAGCAACGGAUCUCUUGGCUCUCGCAUCGAUGAAGAACGCAGCGAAAUGCGAUAAGUAAUGUGAAUUGCAGAAUUCAGUGAAUCAACGAAUCUUUGAACGCACCUUGCGCUCCUUGGUAUUCCGAGGAGCAUGCCUGUUUGAGUGUCAUUAAUAUAUAUAUAUCAAACUUCUCUUGUUGAGGGGUUUGGAUGUGGGGGUUUGCUGGCCUCUUAAAUGGUUCAGCUCCUCUGAAAUGCAUUAGCAGAACAACUCUGUUCAUUGGUGUGAUAACUAUCUACGCUAUUGAAUGUGAGAGGCAGUUCAGCUUUCUAACAGUCCUCGGACAAUUCAUCAUUAAUGUGACCUCAAAUCAGGUAGGACUACCCGCUGAACUUAAGCAUAUCAAUAAGCGGAGGCU